UACGUAGGGGGCUAGCGUUGUCCGGAAUCAUUGGGCGUAAAGAGCGUGUAGGCGGUCCGGUAAGUCCGCUGUGAAAGUCGGGGGCUCAACCCUCGAAUGCCGGUGGAUACUGUCGGGCUAGAGUACGGAAGGGGCAACUGGGAAUUCUCGGUGUAGCGGUGAAAUGCGUAGAUAUCGAGAGGAACACCUGCGGCGAAGGCGGGUUGCUGGGCUGAUACUGACGCUGAGGCGCGAAAGCCAGGGGAGCGAACGGG
This 254-nucleotide ribosomal RNA is filed under the name uncultured bacterium. RNAcentral describes it as "partial 16S ribosomal RNA". It matches the Rfam family "Bacterial small subunit ribosomal RNA", at positions 524 to 776 of the family's 1533-position model. The record is from RNAcentral.